AACGAACGCUGGCGGCAGGCCUAACACAUGCAAGUCGAGCGAGGACUUCGGUCCUAGCGGCGGACGGGUGAGUAACGCGUGGGAACGUGCCCUUUGCUUCGGAAUAGCCCUGGGAAACUGGGAGUAAUACCGGAUGAGCCCUUUGGGGGAAAGAUUUAUCGGCGAAGGAUCGGCCCGCGUUGGAUUAGGUAGUUGGUGGGGUAAUGGCCUACCAAGCCGACGAUCCAUAGCUGGUUUGAGAGGAUGAUCAGCCACACUGUGACUGAGACACGGCCCAGACUCCUACGGGAGGCAGCAGUGGGGAAUCUUAGACAAUGGGGGAAACCCUGAUCUAGCCAUGCCGCGUGAGCGAUGAAGGCCUUAGGGUUGUAAAGCUCUUUCAGCUGGGAAGAUAAUGACGGUACCAGCAGAAGAAGCCCCGGCUAACUCCGUG
RNAcentral lists this ribosomal RNA (433 nucleotides) under uncultured bacterium. RNAcentral describes it as "partial 16S ribosomal RNA". It matches the Rfam family "Bacterial small subunit ribosomal RNA", at positions 29 to 507 of the family's 1533-position model. The record is from RNAcentral.